CCUUCUCUUCUUGGUGGAGAUAGGGUGUGCGGGUCUGGUCCCUGUAAUAUAAGGAGGCAGAAGGAAAGGUCUCUGGCACCUUCUGCAUCAUGUCUCCAGUGUGAGGGCUUCCAGGCUGCUGGUUGUAUGCCCCAGGGCCCAGAAACUG
This is a small nucleolar RNA of Pteronotus mesoamericanus, 148 nucleotides long. RefSeq annotates it as small nucleolar RNA SNORA57. The record is from RefSeq and is a predicted model, not a curated record. The transcript has a single exon. NCBI's taxonomy places the organism in Eukaryota, Metazoa, Chordata, Mammalia, Chiroptera, Mormoopidae.